Molecule: long non-coding RNA, 458 nt
Filed under: Apteryx owenii (little spotted kiwi)
Lineage: Eukaryota; Metazoa; Chordata; Aves; Apterygiformes; Apterygidae
Description: lncRNA (ENSAOWG00000018046.1)
Source: RNAcentral
AGAGGACUCAUAAUCAAGGGCAAUAAACUAGAUCCAUAGCAGUUUAAUGGUUCAAAGGGAUGGGAGCUGUUUAUGUCAGUCCUGUCACUUCUUGAAAAUGGAUAAGGCUCCAAAAAAGAAGAGAAGAGCGGGUAUAGCGCUUCCUGGUUUCCAUGAGAUGGCAUUCAGUGCUGGGGGUUGGGUUUGGAGACACAGAAGCGGGUAGGUGCCUGAUCCUGAGUGUGCACGGGCACAUCGUAGGGAUCUUCUGGAGAUGCCGAAUGCGUUUGCGCCUCUUGGGAAGCUGCAUUUGUAGAGUAAUCCUGGAAAACAUACAAAUCAGGCACCUAAAUAUGUGCCGCAGAUGCAGGACUAAGAAUCCGAGUUUCUUGGAAAGCCGACAGUUCAGCAUCACCCACGCGGCGCUCGCUGCAUGGAUGAACAAAGCAGCUGCUGAAGCUCUCGUUUUCCCCAAAUGA